Molecule: long non-coding RNA, 243 nt
Filed under: Cyanistes caeruleus (blue tit)
Lineage: Eukaryota; Metazoa; Chordata; Aves; Passeriformes; Paridae
Description: lncRNA (ENSCCEG00000017395.1)
Source: RNAcentral
CAACAACUCUGCUAUUCAGACAAAUCCCUUUUCAAGAGCUCUUAGAGCUGUUUGCAGCUUUUCAGACAGGCCUUCAUGACAAUUCCCAGCCUGGAGAACUGCUCAUGGAGAAGGGAAGACACAGAGGAUCCUGCAAACGCUUCCUGUGAAUGAGAACGUCCUGCUGAGCAGCAGCCGGAUCCAGCGCCCACAGAAGGCAGUGGAAGAGCUCCGACUGAUGACAGUGGAUGUUGGAUGAAUUCC